This 306-nucleotide ribosomal RNA is filed under the name uncultured bacterium. RNAcentral's name for it is "partial 16S ribosomal RNA". It matches the Rfam family "Bacterial small subunit ribosomal RNA", at positions 507 to 809 of the family's 1533-position model. The record is from RNAcentral.
GACAGCAGCCGCCACGGUAAUACGUAGGGUGCAAGCGUUAAUCGGAAUUACUGGGCGUAAAGCGUGCGCAGGCGGUUUGUUAAGACAGAUGUGAAAUCCCCGGGCUCAACCUGGGAACUGCAUUUGUGACUGGCAAGCUAGAGUGUGGCAGAGGGGGGUGGAAUUCCGCGUGUAGCAGUGAAAUGCGUAGAUAUGCGGAGGAACACCGAUGGCGAAGGCAGCCCCCUGGGCCAACACUGACGCUCAUGCACGAAAGCGUGGGGAGCAAACAGGAUUAGAUACCCCCGUAGUCCCUGUCUCUUAUAA